RNAcentral lists this long non-coding RNA (4757 nucleotides) under Salvia miltiorrhiza (redroot sage). Its description in RNAcentral is "long non-coding RNA (SMIL_LNC007936)". The record is from RNAcentral. Lineage: Eukaryota; Viridiplantae; Streptophyta; Magnoliopsida; Lamiales; Lamiaceae.
UAAUUCGUCCAGUAAAUCUUCCUGCCUCCAAAUAUCCCCGGUACACCACAUGAAACUAAAUCCACGGAGUGCUCAAUUGUUUUCCAUGAUUUUUUCCUUGAACUAUAAACUUUACCAACCCAUUUGAUCUCCUCCUGCAGGUAAUAACUAACACUCACAAACACCUUGUACUCAUCACUCGAUUCAACCCAACCGAAUCCGUAAUUACGAACAUUGCCGGGACUAGAAAUUACUGGCAGUUUCUUGGAGGUCCGAGUCGAUGGGUUCCACAAGUAAAUUUCUUGAAGAAUUUCUGCACGUUUUCUUGAUUUCUUGAGAAUGCAGAACAGCCCAUUACAGCAUCCCGAAGUUUGAUAUGGCAGCAAUGUCGCCAUCGCAUCAUCAAGUGAAUAUCGACUGAUAGGUUGUUCACUCAGCAACGACUGCAGAGAACAUUCCUCAAGCCUAUCACACUUAGUCGUCACUCUAAUGAGCCUUUGAUGGGGGAAACAUGGAUUUUUUAUUGAAUUUUGGUGAUGGGCUUUGAUGAAGCGUUUGCUGCCUAUUAAAGACCUCCAUGUUUUCGAAACGCACCUAAAUCUCAACAGUGAUUUCACGGGCAAUAUUGACAGUAUUUCUUCGAUGAUUUCUUCUGGAAGAUGGAGAGAUUGCUGGUUUCUUCUUCUUUGUCCUCUUCUUCCUCUUCNCCUUCCUUAAACAAUCUCUCACCUUUCCAGACCUUAUUUCACAAAUCUCCCGACUAUAAGAGGAUUAGAGUAUUUGGAUGUGCAUGCUUCCCCUAUCUAAAACCUUACAAUCAGCAUAAGCUUCAAUUUCGAUCUACAAGUGUGUGUUCCUUGGGUAUAGUGACUGUCACAAAGGCUAUAAGUGCCUUAGUCCCACUAAACACAUCUAUGUUGCUGAUACAGUUCACUUUAAUGAAGUCGAACUUCCUUAUCCUUCUCUUUUCCCUUCCACAGUUUCAUCUAGCUCCACACCUCCACAGUCUCUACAAUCUUUACCUAUUCUUCAUUUUCCUACUCCACACCCUCCUCCUCCUUCCCCUCCUCCUCCCCCUCUCCCCCCUCCUCCUCCAUCGCCUCCGCCCUCUCCUCCUCCUCCUCCUCCGCCUCCCCCACCGCCUCCUUCUACUCUCACUAACACACAUACUAUGCUUACUAGAGCCAAACAUGGGAUAUUCAAGCCUAAGAGUUUUGUUUCACAGCAUGUUUCUCCUGACAUAUCAGAUACAGAGAUCUGGAUUGUUGUUACUUCUCCCGCAAAUGAGGCUCUCUUGGUUAUGACAGCUUCUGGAAAACAUCUUCCAUCUAUUCCCAAAACUGAUGAGGAAGCUCUGGCUCACCUGGGAUGGUUUGAGGCCAUGAACAAGGAACUUAGCGCCCUUAAUAUUAAAGGUACGUGGGUUCUUGUACCACCCUCUCCAGAUCAAAAAGUUAUUUCCAACAAAUGGGUUUUUCGUGUUAAAACUCUCUCUGAUGGGGAAUUAGACAAAUUAAAGGCCAGGUUGGUGGCCCGAGGGUUCGAGCAGGUUGCUGGCAUUGAUUUUCUUGAAGUAUUCAGCCCUGUUGUUAAAGCUUCCACUAUUCGUCUCAUUUUUGCUCUAGCUGCCUCCAACAACUGGUCUAUUCAGCAGAUUGAUAUAAACAACGCGUUUCUCAAUGGCGAUCUUGAGGAAACAAUUUAUAUGGUUCAACCUAAGGGGUUUGAGGACCCUCUUCACCCUGAUCAUGUGUGUAAAUUGGAAAAAUCACUAUAUGGCUUGCGACAAGCCCCUCGGGCGUGGUAUGAUAAACUUCGAGCUUGUCUUCUUGAUCUUGGUUUUCAUCGCUCAGCCUCAGAUUUUUCACUUUUCCAUCGACGGAAAAAUGGUAUUCUCACUAUUAUUCUUGUGUAUGUUGACGAUAUUCUCAUCACUGGAGACAGCAAACAAGAACUCUUGGAUAUCAUUGCCUACUGCAUCAGAAAUUUGCUCUUACUUCUCUCGGUGAUGUGCACUAUUUCUUGGGAAUUGAGGUAGUCAGACAUGGUUCAUCCUUUGCUUUAAGUCAGACAAAAUAUCUUCAUGAGUUGCUUCAUAAAACGCAUAUGAGCUCGUGCCAUCCUUGCGCCACUCCGAUGACACCUGCUACUAAGCUUUCAAAAUAUGGUGGGGUUCCUUUUUCUGAUCCCACUUAUAUCGUAGCACAAUCGGUGCGUUGCAGUAUCUUACACACACUCGCCUAGAUAUUGCGUUUGCGUAAAUAAGCUAGUCAGUUUCUUCAUCAACCUACGUCUCUUCACUGGACAACAUGUAAACGGCUACUGCGUUAUCUAAAGGUACACUUCCAUGGCCUUACACUUCUCCCCAUCUUCCUCCAUCUCUUGUUGGCUUUGCUGAUGCCGACUAUGCAAGUAGUGUUGAUGAUCGACGCUCUACGGUGGCACUGUGUAUACUUUGGUACUAAUCUCAUUACAUGGAGCUCCAAGAAGCAGUCAGUAGUCUCUCGAAGCAGCACCGAAUCUGAGUAUCGAUCACUAGCAAAUGCUACAUCUGAAGUGGUUUGGCUUGAUGCUUUAUGUAAAGAAUUGGAUAUUUCCCUUUCUUCCCCACAUAAACUUUGGUGCGAUAAUAUUAGUGCUGUUGCCCUUUCCUCAAAUCCAGUCUUCAUCUCGUCACAAAGCACAUUGAGGUUGAUGUGCACUUCGUUCGGGAAAAAGUGCAAGAGAAGUUCAUUGACGUUGGCCAUGUACCUGCUAUCGACCAGAUUGUGAUCUUUUUACUAAACCUCUCGCCGAGCCUCGGUUCUGUAUCUGCGUGCAAAGCUCAAUCUUCACUCCUUAGAGGAUCGCAGUCCUGGAUAGAGACAACCAUUUCUUGGAGCAUAUUGAAGUAAUUUAAUUUACCUCUUGUAUUUUCUGUUGUUAGUCAGUUACAUAGUUAGUUAGAUAGGUUGUUAAGCAAGCAGCUAGAAGCUUCUAUUUUACAUCUGUAUAUAGCUUCGGCUCCAAGUUAGUUGCAGUCAGUUUUCAGCUUAAUGAAAAAUCAGUUCACAAAAUAUCCUCUCUCUUCUUUUCUCUCCAGCUUUGCUUCUAUUCUUCUCACAUCUUUUCUCUCAGUUUAGCUUUGAGUUUAACAAUCGGCCUCAUGCUAUCAACUUCAAUAGCAAGGUAGCGCAAGUUAACAUACAUCUUCAAAAAGUUACGAAACUUGCAUGCAUGUAAUGUUCUAAGAAACCCAGAAUUCUUAAUACGCGGGACUUUCCCAUAUUCACUGAUAAUGGAACGACCACGUGGCAUAGACUGCAAGUCGUCAAGGACUCUCUUCAAUGGUGUGUUCCUGGGACAACGCGGCGUUGGCUACUUUUGCCUCGAGGACUAGAUUGCCCUGUGACAUGAUAGAACCCAUCUUUCUUGCUCUGGUUCAAGCAUAAAUCCCUCAACAAAUCAUGAAUUUUGACAAAUUUGAUGUUUCCUGUAGACCCUAGUUCACCAACUAGAAUGAGAUUUCUAUCAACCAAGUCCUUUAAGAACUCUAUGGCAAUAGUUUCCAAACUUUUGCCAUUCAUGGGUUUUAAAAAUCCUUCAGAAACCCAUAGCUUCACGAGUGUUGACACUCUAACCGAAUCAUCCUCCUCAAACACUCCCAUAUACAAAAAACAAAUUAAAUGAACCUGAUUUCUCUCAAGGUAGAAUGUUAUAUUGUGUAGGGACCAUAAGUUUGAUGGAUUAUUUCGCACAAAUAUAAUCGUGUAAUUGGAUAUGCCUUACGUUUAACUUUUUACGUAAUAAACAUUCUUUUCAUUCUAUGGGUUACUGAUUAUUUAUUAUUUCAUAGGUUGGAUUGAUUUUAACUUGCACAUUGAUUAUUUAAUAGGUUGGAUUCAUUUUAUGUUCGUAUAUUAAUGGUUACUAAUUAUUAGCAUUUGAAAUUUGGAAUUUUUUUAUUCUUAAUAAUAUUGUUUAUAUGGAACUCUAUAGAAUUGAUUUGUAAAAGAUAUUUUGUUGUUUGUUAUAUAUAUUUUGCUUUAUUUAAUAUGAUAUUUUUUCUUAUGUUUAUAAUUAUAUUUCAUGUAUUUGUGAAUUUCGUACUCGUGCAUACGCACGGGUAAAAUACUAGUAUAUAUAUAAAACACAUAUCAUCAAAAAAGCUAUGAAACCACUCACUAUCAUGUGUUCUAAGACGUUGUUUCAUAAAUCCUUUGGCGAGACUAAACUUUCAACACAGACAUGACAUGACAAAGAAAAGGAACGAUACUCAAGCUUGCAGAACACAUUAUCCCGGCAAUCGUAGACCACCACAGUGGAUCCACAAUUUACCAAAAUGUCUCCAUUUAGACCUUUCACCAAUGGUGGUUGAAGAAGCUCAAGAAGAUGAGAAAGAUUCUCCACUUUCUCCCAAGACUCCUUCAUAACCCAAACUCGAUAGCCUCUAAUUUCAUCAUUAAAACAUAGCACACAAAGCAAACCACCAAGCACACCCACAAUGUCAUACACCUCUCGAUCAAAGGGAAUCCUUCCAAACACCUCACUCUUCAAGUCCCAGAAAGUAAUAUCUUCUUUAUCUCCGUAAUCGUUCCAGUAAAGCUUCCCACCUGCAAGCACCCCUCUUCCCCAACUUACAGGUAAAUAACCGGAUAGCUCAAUUGUUUUCCAUGAUUUUGUCUUUGAACUAUAAAAUUUACCAACCCAGUUAUUAAUCGACCCGUAAUAAUCAUAAUGAACCAAAAGCACAAACACCUUGUACUCAUCACUCGAUUCAACCCAACCGAAUCCGUAAU